UUGGAAUGUAAUUACUUCCAAUAGUUUCAAUAAUAUAGUAGGUUGGGUAAUGACGCUAGUAUUUGCUACGGUGUACUUGGUGUAGUAUAUGCUUGUACCUAUUUGGAGCCUUUUCUUUCCGGGUGCAUGUGACCCCGAGGUUUAGUGUUGCGUUUUUUACCAUCCCUGUGGCUGAAUAUUACUAUGGUGAAAUGUUGCACGAAGUUUAGGACGAAACAUCAGGACCAUCAGGUUAUUGAAUAAAUAUCUGUUUAUAUAAAUUCAACAAAAUAAAACAUGAUUUGAAUGUAAUCUUCUCAAAGUUGAUAAAUUGAUGAAUAUUUAUUAUUUUAUUUUAUUAAUGUUGAGGAUUUUUGAUGAAGAUAAUGAUUGAUAUCCAUGACGACAUUGACGUCUAAUUACAAUUUUAGUAACGAUGAGUAGGUGUCUAAUACAAAUACUUUAUUUAUAACGCUAAGGAAGAUCUUAGGUACCAGAGGUCCGAUAAUGAUGAUGAUGUAGGUAUAUGACUGAACAUGUCUACUAGUUAAGUAAGUGUCGAUGUCGGCGACAAUGUUUGCUCCAUGACUAUGACAGGGUCAAUAACUGGCCAUAUCGAUGAUAAAAACGGAGCUGGAUGAUUUCGAUGACAGUGUCGGCGAUAAAGCUUGACUGACCACUUUGAUGACGAUAUAUAGAUGACGUUUAUAGUAAGAUUAAUUGAUGAUGGUAAUGAUUGACUGGUUCCAUGUGUAUAAUCAAUGAUUAAAUUGUUGACGAGGACUGAGACUAAAAUGAUCGUUGCUACUGCCAAUAAUUAUAACAUUUGUUUUUAUUUAUUUUUUAUGUUACAACGCUGGUAACCUGGCUGAAUGGAUGAAGUUGAUAAUGAGCGAGGGCUUCGCAGCAAGAGCUGACUGAAGUAAAGGAGGUUAAACUGUUAAGACGGUGCUGCCAGAAGUGGGCAGGGCCCAAGCUGCCGAUGGACAGGGCCACAGAGCGAGGAACCGACAUACAUACGUGCCGUGUUCAAGAUUACUGCCUUCUGCAUCUGAUCCUUGAUCCAGCGACCAGCGAGAGUAUCUACAGGUGUUGUUUUGGUCUCUUAGCUGAUAAGAUUGCUAUUAUAUUAAUAUUAUGAAUCUAGAAUAUAACCGUUGAGUUUUGGCAGACUGUCUAGUGCAGGCCGUAAUGGCAGACUGUCUAGAGCAGGCCAUGACUGUUUAUUAUGUUAGUUUAUGCUUUGGCAAAGUUAGGUUCUUGUAAUAUGGGCCUUGUUGUCUGAUCCAAAUAAAUAUAUAUACAUAUUAGUUUAUACUUUGACAAACUGUCCAGCGCAGGCCUUGAAGGCAGACUGUCUGGGGCAGGCUUUGAUAGCAGACUGUCUUCUAGAGCAGGCCGUGAUGGCAGACUGUCUAGACAACUCAAGUCUAGAGCAGGCCAUAACAAUUUAUACUUUGGAAUGAUAUCUAGAGCAGGCCUUAAGGGCAGACUGUGAAUGUUUAUGAUGAAUUAUACUUUGUCAAACUAUAGAGUAAGCCUAAAUGGCAGACUGUGAUUGUUUAUGAUGAAUUAUGUUUUGCCAAACUAUUUAGAGCAGGCCUAAAUGGCAGACUGAUUGUUUUGAUGAAUUAUGUUUUGCAAAUCAUUUAAAGCAGGUCUUAAUACUGUGAUUGUUUAUGAUGAAUUAUGUUUUGCUAAACUAUUUAGAGCAGGCCUUAUAAGGGUAGACUGUCAUUGUUUAUGACGUUUUAUACUUUGCCAUACUGUUUAGAGCAGGCCUUGAGGGCAGAUUGUGAAUGUUAAUGUUGGCUUAUACUUUGGCAGAUGUCUAGACCAGACCAAGACUGUAAGUUAGUUCAUAUGUAUUGAAAGUUUAUUGAAAGAAGGCUACUAAUGCUACCAGGUGCUGGUUGUAUUAAAUUACUGUUUAGUGUUUAUAUGAUCUCAGGUUAUAGCAUGUGAAGAUUGUGAAGUGUGAAGACUGAUUUCUCAAUAAGGUUAAUAUAUGCAACUAGUCAUUGGUUGUGUGAUUGACUAAUAAAAGUCUAUAGUCAGUCAAGUUUACAAAAACUGUUCUUAUGAAUGUUUGUUUGAUAUCGAUAAAGUUGUUAUGAUAUAUUGCUGUUGUUAUUAAUGUACAAUUGUUUUUAGUGAGAGGACUCACUAUAAAUAAAAGGACGGCCGAGUUGUAAGCAUCACAAUAGUUGAUAUCCUGUAUGUUACUUUAUACUGAUAAUAAUCACAUGUAGUAUGCACCUGACUUUAUACUUUUUGGUUAUUGUAUCUAUGGUCAUGUUUGUUGAGGGAGAACUGUCAGAUUUUGGCGGCGCGUCAUUGCCCGAGGUUAUGUUGGAUUUGUUCCUUUGUAAUCUUAUAAUUAAUCCUGUAUGUCGCUGUAAUAAAAGAAAUAUUACUGGAA
This is a long non-coding RNA of Cydia splendana, 2401 nucleotides long. RefSeq lists it as uncharacterized. The record is from RefSeq and is a predicted model, not a curated record. NCBI's taxonomy places the organism in Eukaryota, Metazoa, Arthropoda, Insecta, Lepidoptera, Tortricidae. The transcript has 2 exons.